CUACGGAAGAAAGUGGGGGAUCUUCGGACCUCAUGCUUUUGGAGCGGCCGAUGUCUGAUUAGCUGAUGCUUAGUUGGUGAGGUAAAGGCUCACCAAGGCGACGAUCAGUAGCUGGUCUGAGAGGACGACCAGCCACACUGGGACUGAGACACGGCCCAGACUCCUACGGGAGGCAGCAAUCGGGAAUUUUGGACAAUGGGCGCAAGCCUGAUCCAGCAAUGCCGCGUGAGUGAAGAAGGCCUUCGGGUUGUAAAGCUCUUUUGUCAGGGAAGAAACGGCUGAGGAUAAUACCUUCGGCUAAUGACGGUACCUGAAGAAUAAGCACCGGCUAACUACGUGCCAGCAGCCGCGGUAAUACGUAGGGUGCAAGCGUUAAUCGGAAUUACUGGGCGUAAAGCGUGCGCAGGCGGUUUUGUAAGUCUGACGUGAAAUCCCCGGGCUCAACCUGGGAAUUGCGUUGGAGACUGCAAGGCUGGAGUCUGGCAGAGGGGGGUAGAAUUCCACGUGCUGAAGUGAAAUGCGUAGAGAUGUGGAGGAACACCGAUGGCGAAGGCAGCCCCCUGGGUCAAGACUGACGCUCAUGCACGAAAGCGUGGGGAGCAAACAGGAUUGCUGACCCUGGUAGUCCACGCCCUAAACGAUGUCUACUAGUUGUCGGGUCUUAAUUGACUUGGUAACGCAGCUAACGCGUGAAGUAGACCGCCUGGGGAGUACAAUCGCAAGAUUAAAACUCAAAGGAAUUGACGGGGACCCGCACAAGCGGUGGAUGAUGUGGAUUAGCUUCGUCGGU
This 790-nucleotide ribosomal RNA is filed under the name Oxalobacter sp. CECRI-SR-15. RNAcentral's name for it is "bacterial SSU rRNA". It matches the Rfam family "Bacterial small subunit ribosomal RNA", at positions 194 to 958 of the family's 1533-position model. The record is from RNAcentral. Lineage: Bacteria; Pseudomonadati; Pseudomonadota; Betaproteobacteria; Burkholderiales; Oxalobacteraceae.